Molecule: long non-coding RNA, 483 nt
Organism: Rhinolophus ferrumequinum (greater horseshoe bat)
Lineage: Eukaryota; Metazoa; Chordata; Mammalia; Chiroptera; Rhinolophidae
Exons: 4
Source: RefSeq, a predicted model, not a curated record
UUAACCCGUGAUUGCUGGGGCUGGCUCUCGCUCCUCCAGGGGCCGUCGUUCUUUUACAAAGAGGGGUGGAGGUUGUUGUUGCCUUUUUUUUUUUUUUUUUAAAUGAAUGGAGGGCGGCGGCGACUGCUGCAGCUGGCUCAGCUGCGCGGGCUGUACCCCCUCCCAGCCUGCGAAAGGAGGGAAAGGGAGGAACAUGGGUUCUGUGAGCGCCUUCCUAUUGGGCAGGAUCAUGAGGAAAUAGCCCAGUGACCUCUUUCUUCUAUUUUGAAGUGAGGAAGACGGUGGUCAUGCUGCAGAUUGGAAGCUAGUGGAGGACCUGCACCAACAAAACAGAAGAGUAAAUCGAGAGAGUAAACACCAUGAGAGUAACUACAUGGAGCUCAGGUAUAAUCACUGCUCCAGUGACACCUGCAUUAACGAGGGGGAAAAGAAAAAGGAUCUCCUAACAGGUGGAGAAAGAGGCCCUCUGAUUAGUGAAAGGUA